This 965-nucleotide ribosomal RNA is filed under the name Salmonella enterica subsp. enterica serovar Typhi. RNAcentral's name for it is "bacterial SSU rRNA". It matches the Rfam family "Bacterial small subunit ribosomal RNA", at positions 133 to 1093 of the family's 1533-position model. Lineage: Bacteria; Pseudomonadati; Pseudomonadota; Gammaproteobacteria; Enterobacterales; Enterobacteriaceae. The record is from RNAcentral.
AUGGAGGGGGAUAACUACUGGAAACGGUGGCUAAUACCGCAUAACGUCGCAAGACCAAAGAGGGGGACCUUCGGGCCUCUUGCCAUCAGAUGUGCCCAGAUGGGAUUAGCUUGUUGGUGAGGUAACGGCUCACCAAGGCGACGAUCCCUAGCUGGUCUGAGAGGAUGACCAGCCACACUGGAACUGAGACACGGUCCAGACUCCUACGGGAGGCAGCAGUGGGGAAUAUUGCACAAUGGGCGCAAGCCUGAUGCAGCCAUGCCGCGUGUAUGAAGAAGGCCUUCGGGUUGUAAAGUACUUUCAGCGGGGAGGAAGGUGUUGUGGUUAAUAACCGCAGCAAUUGACGUUACCCGCAGAAGAAGCACCGGCUAACUCCGUGCCAGCAGCCGCGGUAAUACGGAGGGUGCAAGCGUUAAUCGGAAUUACUGGGCGUAAAGCGCACGCAGGCGGUCUGUCAAGUCGGAUGUGAAAUCCCCGGGCUCAACCUGGGAACUGCAUUCGAAACUGGCAGGCUUGAGUCUUGUAGAGGGGGGUAGAAUUCCAGGUGUAGCGGUGAAAUGCGUAGAGAUCUGGAGGAAUACCGGUGGCGAAGGCGGCCCCCUGGACAAAGACUGACGCUCAGGUGCGAAAGCGUGGGGAGCAAACAGGAUUAGAUACCCUGGUAGUCCACGCCGUAAACGAUGUCUACUUGGAGGUUGUGCCCUUGAGGCGUGGCUUCCGGAGCUAACGCGUUAAGUAGACCGCCUGGGGAGUACGGCCGCAAGGUUAAAACUCAAAUGAAUUGACGGGGGCCCGCACAAGCGGUGGAGCAUGUGGUUUAAUUCGAUGCAACGCGAAGAACCUUACCUGGUCUUGACAUCCACAGAACUUUCCAGAGAUGGAUUGGUGCCUUCGGGAACUGUGAGACAGGUGCUGCAUGGCUGUCGUCAGCUCGUGUUGUGAAAUGUUGGGUUAAGUCCCGCAAC